AUACUGCUGAGGAGUCCCAAACUAGGACGAAACAGCUGUCCAGUAU
This 46-nucleotide non-coding RNA is filed under the name Trichobilharzia regenti. The record is from RNAcentral. Lineage: Eukaryota; Metazoa; Platyhelminthes; Trematoda; Strigeidida; Schistosomatidae.